This 253-nucleotide ribosomal RNA is filed under the name uncultured bacterium. RNAcentral describes it as "partial 16S ribosomal RNA". It matches the Rfam family "Bacterial small subunit ribosomal RNA", at positions 524 to 776 of the family's 1533-position model. The record is from RNAcentral.
GACGGAGGAUGCAAGCGUUAUCCGGAAUGAUUGGGCGUAAAGCGUCCGCAGGGGGCAGUUCAAGUCUGCUGCCAAAGACCGGGGCUUAACUUCGGAAAGGCAGUGGAAACUGAACAGCUAGAGUAUGGUAGGGGCAGAGGGAAUUCCUGGUGUAGCGGUGAAAUGCGUAGAUAUCAGGAAGAACAUCGGUGGCGAAGGCGCUCUGCUGGACCAUAACUGACACUCAGGGACGAAAGCUAGGGGAGCGAAUGGG